GUAGGGUCCAAGCGUUAAUCGGGAAUUACUGGGGCGUAAAGCGUGCGCAGGCGGUUGUGCAAGACCGAUGUGAAAUCCCCCGGGGCUCAACCUGGGAAUUGCAUUGGUGACUGCACGGCUAGAGUGUGUCAGAGGGGGGUAGAAUUCCACGUGUAGCAGUGAAAUGCGUAGAGAUGUGGAGGAAUACCGAUGGCGAAGGCAGCCCCCUGGGAUAACACUGACGCUCAUGCACGAAAGCGUGGGGAGCAAACAGGAUUAGAUACCCUGGUAGUCCACGCCCUAAACGAUGUCAACUAGUUGUUGGGGAUUCAUUUCCUUAGUAACGUAGCUAACGCGUGAAGUUGACCGCCUGGGGAGUACGGUCGCAAGAUUA
Molecule: ribosomal RNA, 373 nt
Filed under: uncultured organism
Description: partial 16S ribosomal RNA
Rfam family: Bacterial small subunit ribosomal RNA
Source: RNAcentral